Molecule: long non-coding RNA, 8016 nt
Organism: Heterocephalus glaber (naked mole-rat)
Lineage: Eukaryota; Metazoa; Chordata; Mammalia; Rodentia; Bathyergidae
Source: Ensembl
CAGAUGGAGACGCUCUCCCCGCUCCCUGCUAGGGAGUCACCGCGAGUCACGGGUUGAUCCCACCCCGGCCCCUACAGCUGCGCCUUCUGAUUGGCUACUACGUCUACAGUGCGCGAAAUUGUUGGCUGCAGCGCCUGUGGUUCCUGUGUCCAGGUCCAGGCUUUAAAGGAGAGCUCAACUAAAAGCUAGCCUGGGAUAAGCUAGGACGUGGGGGCUGUUCGUCGGGGCUUUAGGGUCAUCAGAGGUCACGUGUCGCGCUUCCCCGGACCUCUUCCUGCUGGCGGACCUGCGGGAGCCGAUGCUCAGGACCCAACCUUCCAACCGCCAGGCGCGGCCGGCCUGCGCAUCUCCCCAAACUCAGUUUCCUGGCUGCCAAAGCAAGCUCUGCACUUCUGCCUGGGGGUUGGGAUGAAGCUAUGAAACAACCCUUCCAUUCAUUCAGUGAAUGCUGUGGAAAAAGUGCUUCCACGGCAAGUUUUUAGGAAUAUAAAUGCCAAAAACUCCAGUGAUGUUUAUUUUGUUUCCCAAAUCUGUACCUUUCUGAGAUCAUCACUCCCAGCCUCCUCUAGUGACUCUGCAAGCUAAGGAAUUGUCAUCUCUCUUAUAAGAAACCUGUGUGGCACAAGGUUAAUGCUUGGGCAGUUUCCAUUAUGUGAAAGUCCCUUGGGUUGCACUGCACAGUGUACUAAUUAUGAUCCCAAUAAUCAGAUUUCUGGAUGACAUUUUCACCUGGGAUAUCAGAUGCAUUCCAUCAAGGCCACAGAUGGACAAAUGAAGAUCAAGACAUGGUGACAAAUGCCAGCUACUUUGCUAGCGAACCUGAAAAGCCUUUUGCCCAGCAGAGGGCAGUCACAAACUUGGCUGGGAGAAGGAGACCUGCAGGCUCGCGCGGAUCGGCCCAGCAUGCACUCAGCGUCCAGCAGAGGGCGCGUCUCCAGGCUGGCAUGGAUCAGAAACGGAGGAGAAUAUUGAAGCAGCAUCCCAAAUAUUAGUUCUGAAAAACAAAUGGAUACGGAAGAACAAACGAGCACCUUGAGAUCCAACCAUGGCCCAAAGAGGCUGCAGAUGAGUUGCCACGCCCUGAGGUGCCUCUCGGGGAGCCCUGGAGGCUCUGACUGACUGGAGUCACAUGUCGGACAGGGUUGCUGACAGGGUGUUUGCUGUGCUCGUCAUCCUGUAAGUGAGACACUACACAGCAUUUGUUUGCCAAAUUGUGGUACAUUAUGCAAAUCUAAGUUAAAUUAAUACUUAGAAAUACAGAUAGGAAAAGCUAGAAAAGCCCUGUAACAAAGCAUGAUUACUGAGAUUAGAGUGCUUUGAACUUGAGCAUUAGAGAAUCUUUCGAAUUUGUAGGAUUAAGCAGGAGGCAUACCCCUCUCUUAGGAGAAACAUGCACAUUUGUAAAGGAUCCUAGCACCGGGGGAGAGGUAUUUUGGGUAGCUUGGGGUUCUUAUGAGGGAAGGAAAGAGCCAAAACAUCUCCCAAUACCAAGAGUAAAUUUCCUCUCCACAAAACACUGGAGUUUGAUUGUCUGGGUUGGUUAACUGGGCAGAAAAAUAAACUGUGAGGAAGAAACCCACGCAUGGCUCUGGAGGAAGUGGUCAGGGUGAACACCACCCAGGAGCCUCUUUGAUUUUCAAAGAGUUGAGCCCCAGACCUUGCUGUGAGAUGUGAAGAGUCACUCCAAAUUUAUAAGCUCAUUAAACAAGUACUUUUGACUGUCUACAUGUAUGGCUUUAAAAAAAUACACAGACUGCUUCCAGCCACACCUAGACCUUCUCCAACCAUUUAGCUGACAGUUUUUUCUUCUAAUUACUCAAGUGAGCGUCUCUGUUAUUUACACAGUUUGUGGAAGGCAGAGGAGAAGGGAUUUGUGGUUUAGUACCUUGGCAGGGCAUAGGGGUCAAGUUCAGCCCAUCUUCUGAAAUCAGUCUGACCUGUCAGGCUACCAGAGACCGCUGGAGUGUUGCCCGCUCCCCCAUAAGGUGUUUCCCUGAUUUGCUCUGGCUGGGAGCCAGGAACGGGUUUUGAGUUCAUUUGUGCUUCUUUACUGACCUUAUUGGUGAAUAGUGGCUGGUUUGCCUAAAAGCUCACCCCACCCUCUCUCUCUGUUUUCCUGUGAUCUUAGGGAUUGAACCCUGAGGUGCUCUACCACAUCCUGAGCUCUGUUUAUUUAAUUUUGAGACAUGGUCUCACUAAUUUGCCAGAUUGGGUUUGAACUUGUGAUCCUUCUGCCUCAGCGUCCUAAGCAGGUGAGAUUACAGGUGUAUACCACCACACCCUUUCAUUUUUGAUUUGACAAAAUGAGAAAGUGUUGCCUUUUCCUUCUUUCUUUCCUUCCUUGGAUGUUGGGAAGAUUGAUGGGAUAAUGGUCAUAAAGUCCUUUGAGCUACCUCAAGAAGAGUAUAACCCAAUUCAUUACUGCACUUGCUUCUGCUCAUAAAUCCACACUGUCUACAGUUCCUGUCUGCAGGCCUGGGGUGGUGCCCAAGACCACAGAAGGAAUGCUCCCGACACAGUCACACAUGGUCCUGUUGGUUGGAGUUGGUCAUUCCUGACCUUGACAUCAACCAUCUUAAUCUCCAGAAAUAGGCUAAAUGCUAGUCCGGCCACUUGUGUCUCUUCAUCAUCUCCAGGGCGACUGCAUAUUUCCAGCCUCUGUGCUCCAGGAUCUAAUAAUAGGUGGGAUGAAAAGACUGUUUCCUCUGAUGCACUUUUAUGAGAUGUUUUCAAAGAGGAUGCGGUGGGGGAAUGGAUAAGCUGCUCGCUCAGUACAGUGAGGCGUCAGAAUGACGGGGCAGGGAAGCCCCACCUUCCCAGGGAGCUCUUGCUCAAGACAGCCCAGUUGUUAGAGGGCCAGGAAUCCGGGAACAUCAAGGCAGCCUCAGACCUUGUAACCUAGAUGUCAUUGUGCUUUUCAGGCAAUGAUGCCUGAUCACUGCAGGCAGAAGUGUGGCCAAAGGGCACCUAUGGGCCCGAAGCCCUUUCCACAGCAGCUCUGCUUGGGUAAUGGUGCUUCAUUAAGCCUGUGAUGUUUAGGGAUGUCAGACAUCUCCUUAACCCUGAAACACCUUUUGCUCGUGAGUGGUAAAGAGUUGGAUUUCUUAUCAGAAGAAUAUUUUAGCUAUGUGCCCUGGAGAGGAACUACUGUCCCCAUGAGGGGACAGCAAAGCCUCAAGGACAAAGGGAUUUCCUAGAGACAAUGUCAGGAAGGAGGGAGGUACAGAAGGGGACUCUGGAGUCAGCCUGGAAGUUGGGGUUGAGGGAACUCAUUAAAUCUGUUAAGAGGAGCCUAGAUGUUUUGAGCAAGAACAGGGCAGCACCAAAGCUGGGAGAGAUUGUGAAAAUGGUUCAGUGUUUCUGGAGUCUGGGAGGAGAAACUUAAUUAUGCUAUUUAAUUAAACCAAAAGGAAGGGAAUAGAAUAUUUGGUUGCCAAAAGGUGCUCUUAUAAAAAACUGUGGGCUGAGCUGCAGCACUGGGUACCAACAAAGGCAUGGGAGGCAGUGCAUCAGGAAGGACAGGCAGCAAGCUCCAUGGCUGCAGGUCAUCCUUGAUGUGUUUCUGCCAUCAGAAUUUGCCCUUGAUGUCGGGACUCUUCAUUUAUGCAUGUUUGUGCUGUUAAGAUUGUCUUCUGAGUCAUUUGAGAUUUUUAAGAAUAUGUUGCCAAAGUCAACAACCAACAGUUUAGGGUGGCCUGGUCCACCCAGGUCUGGUCCAGGAGGGUCAGGACCCUGCCUCACUCUCACCAUUUCCUGUGGCCCUUCCUCCCUACCAUCCACCACAUGGCACUCCUGGGCCACAGGUGGCUAUCAGCCUUUUGCCUUCCUCCUGCAAAGUUGGGCUCUUCACUUGGGGAGUGUGUGUAUACUCACACAUGUACAUGCUCGCUCACAAGUGUGUGUGCACACUCGCACACAUGCCCAAGUGGGUGGGGAGGAGAGAGUUCUGUUCCCUUGUGGUGAUUGCCACCAACCAAUCAGCUGGACUCUGAGCCGAGCCAAAGUGAAGCAAGAGCGACAUCGGGUGCCAAGAACAAGAGCUUGCUGUGAUAUCAGGUGUUUUCUGGCCUCAGUGUGUAGGAGCAGAGAGAAAGGCUUGGCUCAUUCCAGAGCCUUCACUCCUAGGGAGCAAGGAGUUUCUGGAUGGGGCUUCAUGUCAGUAUUCUGCUCUGCUCGUUUGCAUGAGGGAAUUAGACGCAGACUUGAGGCUUUGAAUGGAUUUUUAAAAUAAAAAUCAAGGCAAAGGUUUUGUUGGCUAGAACAUGACACAGGGACCCAGGUCAACAUUCUAACCCUGUACCUGCCUGCAGUGUCCUCUGGAGGAUAACUGUGCCGAUGUCUUUAGUGGACUACGUAAAAGUCUGACCUAGUUCACAGAGGUGGCGUGUUUGCUCUGGAGGCUGCUCCUGGGGCAGGCUUCCUGUAGCUAGAGUCAACCUCAUUUAGCCAGAGGUAGGGAGCUAAAAGGUAUUCCUGUGGAAUGGCUCCCUGAGAAGGGCUGGCCUGGCUUCCACAAAGAUGCUUUGGGGGACAGGAUGUCAUGGGCUACCUAAAGAGGAUCCCCCCAUGCAGGUGGGAAAGAAUAUGGUCAUGUUAUUUGCCAUUCAGCUGGUCCUUCUUCUUAGCUGGAGCCUGCUUGGCUUUUUCCUUCAUGGAAGAUAAGGCGGGGAAGAGGUUUGUUUGUCCAGAUGCCACCAGUCGGAUGACUAUUGCAGGCACAGGAGUGUCUCCAGGGCACAGUGCCAGGCCAGGUCCCACCUAAUGUCUCUAUUCCUCAUCCAGGAGUGCUGUAAUCAGCAGGUUGAUGCAAAACUGGGAAGGGUUGAGAAACCCCUUGGGCAGGAGAUUUCGAAAUGAGAUUCGGAUUAGAAGAAACAUAGUGGGUGGGGUUUUAAAGAUUGAAGGAGACAGGACAAACUCCCCUCCCAACACUGACACUCCGCUGGAUAGCGGGGAUACACAGAAGAGCCUAGAAUGGGGAGGCAGCAGCACAGGGCUGUGAGGCAGCAGAGAGUUCUGAGUGCUGUUUCCUGACCACCUAUCCCCACCCUUGACAAGGAGCCCUGUGUCUGUCCAUUCACCAGGCAAAACCACCCCUGCCACAGUGCUUUCUGUCUAGGGCAUGUCAGCACCAGCUAGGGGUAGAUAGAUAAAGCCAUGGAGAAGCGAGGGAGGAGGGUGCUGGCAGGAGUGGUAGGAGGAGAACUUGACUAUGUUGGACAAGGCAAAGAAGGGGUUAGUCCCCAGUACCGAAAGGAAAAAACAAACAAACAAACAAAAAACCCCAAGGGUGAACGAGCCUGUGACCCCAUAGCCUUUGUCCCCCCCAGUGGGAAGGGGCAGCUCCCUCCUUGGGUGGCCAGCAGCUGUCACACUGUCUGUGCCCCCUCACCACAUGAUCCUAUCUGAGGUUGGGCUCAGGACACCAGGCAUUGUGUGGCUCCUGGCAGAUGCCCACGAUAUGACGAACCCAGAGGAAGUUGCUGGCUGGAUCUGAAGCCAGAGACAGAGGUGGACUUGAGAAAAAGAAGGAAAUGGAGGAAGUAAGGGAGGAAGAGCGAUGCAAAGGAUCCCAAAAAAGGAAAAAAAGGAACUAAGAAGGAAAGGCAGGAGAAGUGGCAUUCUAGAAGGAGCAAAGAAGCAAGAAAAGAAGACAAAAAAGAGGAUUAUGUCUCAUUUGAAGGAAUUAAGAGUGGCAUAGUCAAGAAUGAGUCUCAGGCCUUAGAAAGCUUGUCAUGAUGAAUAAAUCAUUCCAUUCAGGUGGCUUGAUGAUGGUGGUACUCUUUGAAGAAGUCAGGACCAUACAGUGUAAAAGCCAAGAGUGGGGCUGUAAGAACUAGCUGACCAGCUCUAAACAAGAGGGGCUUAUGAUUCAUGCCCGUACAUACCUGCCUCGUGCAGGGUGGGGACCCAUCUAACCUGAAUCACUGCCCAGCCCCUCCCAGUCUCCUUAGAUGACAAGCUGUGGCAUCCUUGGUCCACCCAACUCACCCCCAAGCAUUUUUCCAGAACAGUAAACAAGUACAGGUGAGGAAGGUCACAGAUCUUUUGGUUUGGGGCCAUUUUCUCCUCCCUCUCAGUGCUCACCAUGUGACUAACCAGGGGUUUCUCAUCAGGGGCUUUUUAGUCUUUCUUCAAAGUGGUCAGAAGGUUGCCAGAUGCAUUCCUCUGAGCUCAAAGUUUAUUUCUGUAUUCUAUUAUGGACUGGGAAAUCCAAGGUUGCCUGAAACAUAUGGGAAAAUCGUCUCUCAUUUUUAGCAUGCCCAGUGUUUUCAACAGUUGAUGCAAAGUUGACCACAGCUGAUCACCUUUCUUGCCAAAAUUAAACCAGAGAUGAAUGUCAUUAACUAUUACCUCCAACAUUUGUUUAGAGGUUUAUACUUUCUAAGCAACUCAUUUUAUUUAAUCUCUGUAAUAAUCCUGCAUUACUGUUAUUCUGCAUUAUAGACAUUGAGUCUCAGAAAAGGUAAUUUUUUAUUAAUAAAUUUUAUUUUAUCCCAUUUCCCCCUCCUGCCCCCUCCCCUCGCUUUGUACAAAAGCUUUGUUUCCAUUUUUUUCCUUCUAUUUUCAUUUUUUUCAGAAAGGUAAUUUUUCCCCAGAGUCUAAAUUCCUUGGGUUCAAACAGUUCACCCUGAAUCAGGUAUAGUGGGGUACACCUGUAAUCUCAGCCCUCUGGGAGGGUGAAACAAGAGGAUCACAAGUUUGAGUCCAGCCUAGACAACUUACUGACCUAGUGAGAUCCUGUCUCAAAAUAAAAGAAUAAAAAAGGGUUGGGGGUGUAGCUUAGUAUAUAAGCCCUGGGUUUAAUCCCCAGUGCCACAAACAAAACAACACAACCAGGAUAUCCUCUGACGCAAAUCCUUGGUGCUUCCUAUACAAUGUUAUCAAACUCUUUAGAGUUCAGAGUGACAUCAAGGGCAGAUUCUGGUGAUCUUUCCUCAAUUUGUUCUCUCACUCUUCUUACCACCCAUUCACUUUCUGCCCUAUUUCUAUGACCAUCCAGUGGGAAAAGAGUACACUUCUCAGGGAAGAACAUCUACAUAAAGCAAAGGACUCUAACAUUUCCUUUGCCAAGGGCCCUUUCUUUCUCCAAAGUUUCUUUCAUGACAAAAGCAAUAGGAGAAUAUUGUAGAAAAAGUACAAAAUCUAGAAAAACAAGAAGAUAAUAAAAAUCAUCAUUCUGCCAUUGAGCAAUAACUUUAGUCUUCCAAACUCAGUGGUAUAUAGUCUUCUAUAACUUGUGUGAUAGAUAUAUGUAUGGAGUUACCUAAAUUUAUAAAAUUAUAAAAAUGGCAAAUUUUAAUAAAUGUUUUGCUUUAAAUUAAUUAAAAUGGCAAAUGUACCUACUCCAUAAUACUGUUUGGGGACUUGUUUUUUAAUUUAAUAUAUUGUAAAUAUUUUCCUGAACUAUUUUUAUAAAAUAUUUAUUUAGUUGACACAUAUAUCCUUGGAGAGGUCUUUUUUUUUUUUUUUUGGUACCAGGGAUUGAACUCAGGUCCUUGUGCUUGCGAGGCAGGUGGCAGAACCACUGAGCUAAAUCCCAGGGCCUGGAGAGGUCUUUUUGAGACAGGGCCUCACGGGCCAGGGAUUUAGCUCAGUGAUUAUGCUGCCUGUCUCGAAAGCGCAAGGACCUCAGUUCAAUCCCCGGUACCAAAAAAAAAAGUAUAAGAGACAGGGCCUCACUCUGUAGUCCAGAUCAGCCUGGAACUCACCAUGUGCCUCAGUGCUGUGAUUGUCAUGCUCAACUUCAUUAUGCAGAUAUUCCUCAUUGAAUGACCUGUUUACAGACUGUCCAGGCUUACAACCCACUGCUCAGACUUAUGGUUCAUCUCUUUUUUUUUGUACAGUUCUGCACAUCUUAUUUAUAGAGUCUCAAUGUCUUUUUUUGUAUAGUAUACCUUGCUUAUUACAGUACUGUAAUUUUUGCUGAUUGUACUGUAUAAUAUAGUGCUGUAGUUUUAUGUUCUGUUAUACAUUACAGUAUUGCCUGUAAGAGUUAUGCAAAUAAAAGCAAAG